CCUACGGGUGACAGCAGUGAGGAAUAUUGGUCAAUGGACGAGAGUCUGAACCAGCCAAGUAGCGUGAAGGAUGACUGCCCUAUGGGUUGUAAACUUCUUUUAUAAAGGAAUAAAACGAGGCACGUGUGCCUUCUUCCAUGUACUUUAUGAAUAAGGAUCGGCUAACUCCGUGCCAGCAGCCGCGGUAAUACGGUGGAUCCGAGCGUUAUCCGGAUUUAUUGGGUUUAAAGGGAGCGUAGAUGGGUUGUUAAGUCAGUUGUGAAAGUUUGCGGCUCAACCGUAAAAUUGCAAUUGAUACUGGCAGUCUUGAGUACAGUAGAGGGAGGCAGAAUUCGUGGUGUAGCGGUGAAAUGCAUAGAUAUCACACAGAACACCGAUUGCGAAGGCAUCUCACGAAUCCACGAUUGACGCUGAUGCACGAAAGCGUGGGUAUCAAACAGGAUUAGAUACCCUUGUAGUC
RNAcentral lists this ribosomal RNA (460 nucleotides) under uncultured bacterium. RNAcentral describes it as "partial 16S ribosomal RNA". It matches the Rfam family "Bacterial small subunit ribosomal RNA", at positions 338 to 795 of the family's 1533-position model. The record is from RNAcentral.